CGUGUGUGUGUGUGUGUGUGUGUGUGUGUGUGUAGGAUACAUAUAAUUAUUCACACACACAAACACACAUACU
Non-coding RNA from Podarcis lilfordi (Lilford's wall lizard), 73 nucleotides. The record is from the annotation of a GenBank genome assembly. Lineage: Eukaryota; Metazoa; Chordata; Lepidosauria; Squamata; Lacertidae.